Molecule: transfer RNA, 87 nt
Filed under: Nitrospirota bacterium
Lineage: Bacteria; Pseudomonadati; Nitrospirota
Also listed under: 2 other names
Description: tRNA-Leu
Rfam family: tRNA
About the family: Transfer RNA (tRNA) molecules are approximately 80 nucleotides in length.
Source: RNAcentral
GCGGGAGUGGCGGAAUCGGCAGACGCACAGGACUUAAAAUCCUGCGCCCGCAAGGGCAUACGGGUUCAAUUCCCGUCUCCCGCACCA